AAGAAAUUUUUGGGAAUUUUGUUUAUUUAAUUUUUUAAAUAAAUAUGAAUAAAAAAAUAUUUUAAAAAAGUAUUUUUUUUCAAAUUAUUUAAUUUAGGAAAAGGGAAGGUGAAAUAUUAAACAGAAAUGGGAGGGAAAAUUGAGAAAAGAAGAUUUAAUUUGUUGUACCUUUUGUAUCAGGGUGGGAGGAGAAGGAUCCAUUAUUAUGUGGAGUUUCCCGAAAACGAAGGAUUUAAUCCCUUUUUAUAUUCUUUCAAUUGCAUUUGCAUUUUUAAAUUGGGGUUGGAAAUGAAAAGUUUUUCGUCUUUUGUAUAUCUGGUUUCCUUGAGUGUAUUGUUUUUAAGCAAUAGAGAAAAUUGGGAUAAUAAUUCUAUUUUUUAAUUAUUUCUGGAGGGAUAAUCUUCUAGGAUAAAGAAGUUCUUAUACUGUAAAGUAUUACAAGCGAACUUGGAAAAGUAAUUUUAUAAUUAAGUGGAUAGAGAAAUUAAUUUAUUUUUGAAUUUUUUUAUAAGAGGGGGAAAAAUUAAAUGGAAAAACUUUUUAUCAUUAUCUAUUCAAUUAGUAGAAGGGAUAAUUUGUUUUUAGGAACUCGGCAAACAUAUUAGAUCCUGCCUGUUUAGUAAAAACAUCUCCUCAUUUAAUUAUAUGAGGUAUGACCUGCUCAAUGCGAAUGAUGUAAAUAGCCGCAGUACUCUGACUGUGCAAAGGUAGCAUAAUAAAUUGGCCUUUAAUUGAGGUCUGGAAUGAACGGUUCGACAAGGAUUUGACUGUCUUGGGAUAAGAAUUUUUGAAUUUAAAUUGUUUGUAAAAAUGCAAACAUAAUAGAGAGGGACGAGAAGACCCUAUAGAUCUUUAAAAAGUUAAUUUAAUAAUAUGUUUUGGAUUAAAUUUUUUUUAUUUGGGGAAAAUCCUGAAAUAAGUUUACAAUUAAACUUCGGUUAAUUUGGAAGAAGAAAAACUUAAUUGUUUAAGUUUGAUCCACAAAUAGUGAAAAGAUGAAAAAGUUACCUUAGGGAUAACAGGACAAUGAUCUUUUAUAAGAGACCCUAUCUUAAGAGACGUUUGUUACCUCGAUGUUGAAUUAAGUUAUCUAACUAAAGGAGAAAUUUUUGAAGUUGGUCUGUUCGACCAUUAAAAACUUACAUGAUUUGAGUUUAGACCGACGCAAGUCAGGUCAGAUUCUAUCUUCUCUAAUUUUAUCCUUUCUUUUGUACGAAAGGAUCAAGAAAGGAGUUUAGUUUAUAACUAAAGUUUAAAGUUUUUUAUUUGUGUAA
RNAcentral lists this ribosomal RNA (1274 nucleotides) under Coloceras sp. SLC-2005. RNAcentral's name for it is "large subunit ribosomal RNA". The stretch from base 823 to 1193 matches the Rfam family "Bacterial large subunit ribosomal RNA", at positions 2071 to 2649 of the family's 2925-position model. RNAcentral also lists the same sequence under 1 other name. The record is from RNAcentral. Lineage: Eukaryota; Metazoa; Arthropoda; Insecta; Psocodea; Philopteridae.